RNAcentral lists this long non-coding RNA (209 nucleotides) under Panax ginseng (ginseng). RNAcentral describes it as "long non-coding RNA (PGIN_LNC012426)". The record is from RNAcentral. Lineage: Eukaryota; Viridiplantae; Streptophyta; Magnoliopsida; Apiales; Araliaceae.
AACAGCUUCUCCAAUUCAGCGACCCUUCGAGCGAGGGGGUCGGAUUCUCCUUCGUGAGGGGACGAAUGGGGUCUGUCCUUCUCACGUUCGGGAAUCUCCUCUUUCCUCCUCUGCCCAGACCGACCCGGGUGCUCGGAACGUCGUCCUGCUGACCGGCUUCUUCUCCGGCUUCGGCCAUCCCUCGAACGACUUCGAUACCUACUUUUCUC